CUGAAACCGUGUACGUACAAGCAGUGGGAGCACCUUCGGGUGUGACUGCGUACCUUUUGUAUAAUGGGUCAGCGACUUAUAUUCUGUAGCAAGGUUAACCGUAUAGGGGAGCCGCAGGGAAACCGAGUCUUAACUGGGCGUUAAGUUGCAGGGUAUAGACCCGAAACCCGGUGAUCUAGCCAUGGGCAGGUUGAAGGUUGGGUAACACUAACUGGAGGACCGAACCGACUAAUGUUGAAAAAUUAGCGGAUGACUUGUGGCUGGGGGUGAAAGGCCAAUCAAACCGGGAGAUAGCUGGUUCUCCCCGAAAGCUAUUUAGGUAGCGCCUCGUGAAUUCAUCUUCGGGGGUAGAGCACUGUUUCGGCUAGGGGGUCAUCCCGACUUACCAACCCGAUGCAAACUACGAAUACCGAAGAAUGUUAUCACGGGAGACACACGGCGGGUGCUAACGUCCGUCGUGAAGAGGGAAACAACCCAGACCGCCAGCUAAGGUCCCAAAGUCAUGGUUAAGUGGGAAACGAUGUGGGAAGGCACAGACAGCCAGGAUGUUGGCUUAGAAGCAGCCAUCAUUUAAAGAAAGCGUAAUAGCUCACUGGUCGAGUCGGCCUGCGCGGAAGAUGUAACGGGGCUAAACCAUGCACCGAAGCUGCGGCAGCGACACUAUGUGUUGUUGGGUAGGGGAGCGUUCUGUAAGCCUGCGAAGGUGACCUGUGAGGGUUGCUGGAGGUAUCAGAAGUGCGAAUGCUGACAUAAGUAACGAUAAAGCGGGUGAAAAGCCCGCUCGCCGGAAGACCAAGGGUUCCUGUCCAACGUUAAUCGGGGCAGGGUGAGUCGACCCCUAAGGCGAGGCCGAAAGGCGUAGUCGAUGGGAAACAGGUUAAUAUUCCUGUACUUGGUGUUACUGCGAAGGGGGGACGGAGAAGGCUAUGUUAGCCGGGCGACGGUUGUCCCGGUUUAAGCAUGUAGGCUGGUUGUCCAGGCAAAUCCGGAUAAUCAAGGCUGAGGUGUGAUGACGAGGCACUACGGUGCUGAAGUAACAAAUGCCCUGCUUCCAGGAAAAGCCUCUAAGCAUCAGGUAACAUCAAAUCGUACCCCAAACCGACACAGGUGGUCAGGUAGAGAAUACCAAGGCGCUUGAGAGAACUCGGGUGAAGGAACUAGGCAAAAUGGUGCCGUAACUUCGGGAGAAGGCACGCUG
This 1198-nucleotide ribosomal RNA is filed under the name Klebsiella pneumoniae. RNAcentral's name for it is "partial 23S ribosomal RNA". It matches the Rfam family "Bacterial large subunit ribosomal RNA", at positions 550 to 1753 of the family's 2925-position model. Lineage: Bacteria; Pseudomonadati; Pseudomonadota; Gammaproteobacteria; Enterobacterales; Enterobacteriaceae. The record is from RNAcentral.